Molecule: ribosomal RNA, 484 nt
Filed under: uncultured bacterium
Lineage: Bacteria
Description: partial 16S ribosomal RNA
Rfam family: Bacterial small subunit ribosomal RNA
Source: RNAcentral
AUUGAACGCUGGCGGCAGGCCUAACACAUGCAAGUCGAGCGGAUGAAGGGAGCUUGCUCCUGGAUUCAGCGGCGGACGGGUGAGUAAUGCCUAGGAAUCUGCCUGGUAGUGGGGGAUAACGUCCGGAAACGGGCGCUAAUACCGCAUACGUCCUGAGGGAGAAAGUGGGGGAUCUUCGGACCUCACGCUAUCAGAUGAGCCUAGGUCGGAUUAGCUAGUUGGUGGGGUAAAGGCCUACCAAGGCGACGAUCCGUAACUGGUCUGAGAGGAUGAUCAGUCAAACUGGAACUGGGAAACGGUCCAGACUCCUAAGGGAGGCAGCAGGGGGGAAUAUUUGACCAUGGGCGAAAGCCUGAUCCAGCCAUGCCGCGUGUGUGAAGAAGGUCUUCGGAUUGUAAAGCACUUUAAGUUGGGAGGAAGGGCAGUAAGUUAAUACCUUGCUGUUUUGACGUUACCAACAGAAUAAGCACCGGCUAACUUCGUG